This 2509-nucleotide unclassified non-coding RNA is filed under the name Leishmania donovani. Its description in RNAcentral is "gene:LdHU3.26.2620(CDS-product:hypothetical_prote in_conserved)". The record is from RNAcentral. Lineage: Eukaryota; Euglenozoa; Kinetoplastea; Trypanosomatida; Trypanosomatidae.
AAGUCGCCAAGCAGCACAUUACGAGAAAAAGAAGGUAACAAUACAAGGUGGAACAGAGCUCACUUCACGCACAUCGCUACACUCAGGACUACGCAUACACGCAUACGCGUGUUCUCCAUCUUCCGCGGCCUACACCACUUGCAUCCUUAGCAAGGUAUCCACUCUCAUUAUCGCGAUUACCAGCAUCUCCAUUUUCUUCCCCAAACCCAGCAAGAUUGCAACUGUCUCCCCCCGCCUGCGUGAUCCAUGCCCGCGUCUGUGCACAGCGACGACAGCGAGAGCCGCAAGAAGACUGCCCGGAACAGCGACGGCGAUAGCGGUGAUCGCAUCAUCGACGGACUCCGCUACCCGCGUCCGGGGCGUCAGAUUGAUCAGUUUGGGUUUGAGCUGACCACCCACAGCUUGCACUUCCACGGGUGUGAUUGGGAUAUCCCGUUGACGCAGAAGCGCGAUGAGCUGACGAAGGCCUUCAUGCAGGAUGCCGCGGAGGCCACAAACGAGCCAGAGGAGAACAUCCGCAACCUUCGCUUCAUUGUUACGCCGACACACCUCGACGCGAAGUUCACGGUGCGCCACAAGGUCCACGUGUCGAAGGACAAGGUGCACAAGAUGCUCUCUUCCUCCAAGUGGACGCUUGUGAAGGCACUAUAUGAGCCUCGGCAGAAGAUGCGGCGGCCGAAUAAACCGGCCAAGGCCCGCGCCGGCCACAGGGGAGCCCAGGACGACCAGCCGAUGCUUGGUUCGAACCGACGAACACCUUCGCAUAACCUUAGCUUCUUUGGUCGCGCCAACGUCGGCGCCGAGGGCCCUGAGUUCGAGGACCACGCCGACGACGGUGAGGAGCCCGUGGCGUACGAGCAUCAACUGGACGCGAAGAUGCGGCGCACGACAAGUGGGCUCUUCAUCUCCGUCGGCCUUGCUGCAUAGAGAAGGGGCGGAAGAAGGGACAGACAACGAAUAGGGGCACUUUAAGAAAAAAGGGAGAGAGAUGGAUGACGUGUGAGUGAGGAGGAGCCUGUGAGUGGAUCCGCCAUCACACACACACACACACACACCGGCGUACUUCCAGACACACCCACACGGUGAUGCAUUUGUGUGUGCGUCUUGGUGUCUGUCUCUCCUACCUGCGUGCAUUGCCGCUCCUGUGUAUCCGUGCUUGCUCACUGCUGAAUACUUCUUAUUUUUUCAUUUGUUCCCUUCUAUGCCCUGCAUUGCCUCGCUCUGAUUGCUGGCAUUUUACUUAGUCGUGUGUCCUGCAGCAAAGACGAGAAAGGGUGUACUUCACUUCUGUCCCACGCCUUCUCUCUAGCCCGUCUCGUCCGUGCCGUCGUUGCCCCUUUCUUUUUGUUCUCGUGGCUGGGAAGGGCCACCCGACCCCUCCCCCCCUCCGUCUCUCGCAUGUAGUGCAGUGUCGUGCCGCGUAUGUGUGCGCGCGUGUGUAUCUAUUUGCUCUCUUGCAGUGUAGCUGACGUCUAUUCCCCGUGCGCUGCUCUUCACGCGCAUGGGAGAUGCUGAAGGACGCGUCGCAGAUGUCCUUUUUUGUUCUUUCUUCAUUGCUUCUCCCGAUCAUUUUUGCAUCCCUGCAUCACGUACAGCUUCCCCUUUCAAGCUCACACGAGCCGGCGCAGGCACACAAACACACAGAGUGUAUCGCCUGAUGCUAUUCCAUUAUCUGGCCUCUCCCUUCCUCGUUUGCCGACAGCGCCAUCCCCCUCAACACACAGACACCAACCAAUAACCCCCCUUCCCCCACGAAACUCAGGGCUGUGCUACUCUUUGCACAGCAGGAAGAGCUUGCGCCGCUGAUCUCCACAAGGCGAAUAAGCGUAGAAGGCCGCCUCGGUGUCUGUGCGUGGUGCUUAGUUUGCACCUGCUUCUCGCCUAUUUUCUUCCCCCAUCUCAUUUUCUACGCGCACGUGCGCGUGCUCCGCUUCGUCGCUCUUGUAUGUCUUCACCACCCCCUCCCCUACUUGCCGAUAGUGUUCAUGGCUUCUGUUAUUAUGGGUGUUAUCGUGACUAGGUGUUGUGUGGAGUCGUUGCUGCGCUGUGGCGGAGUAGUUUACAUCUCUCCCUCUCCCUCAGCCUGUAUUGCCUCUUUUUUUUUCUCUCGUGUCUGCCAUUUCGUGGUCGCCGCACGCCGCGUCCCCUCGUCGACUCUGUCACGGACUCACGCUCCCUUCCUCCACGGCUGCUUUCCUUUCACACAUGGGAGGUUUUCACCUUUGGCGCGCCUCUGCGGCGGCCGCUUUUUUUUUCUUCGUCGUUUUGUUUUUUCCUCAUUCGCUUCCGUUGUCGUUUCGUCUCUCACCUCUCGCACGUGUCGUGGUUGAGGGUUGCGGGUGGGAUGAUGUCUCCGUGUGACGGUCUCUCCCCUCCUCGAGGUGUUCUGUGUGUGCCUGAUACGCAAACACAUGCACAGUGAGCGAGAGCGAGCGCGGGCCCUCAUAGACAUGCGCACACCCGCUUACCCCCUUCAUGCACCGCCACUAUAUCAGUUGUCUGCCGAUCG